RNAcentral lists this long non-coding RNA (4701 nucleotides) under Taeniopygia guttata (zebra finch). Its description in RNAcentral is "lncRNA (ENSTGUG00000020403.1)". Lineage: Eukaryota; Metazoa; Chordata; Aves; Passeriformes; Estrildidae. The record is from RNAcentral.
UUUUUUUUUUUUUUUUUUUUUUGUUUAGGCCUUGAUCCUAUGGACAUUUCCACAAAUGCUUAAUUUUCAACCCCAGCCAGCUAGUCCUGGUGAAUUAAUUGGGAUUUUUGAACACUUGCUUUGAGAGGAAAAGGGCACAGGAGUGCUCAGAGCCUUGUUUUGAUGUUCAGGCUCUUUCUGCUGGGAGAUGCUGCUUCAGGGAGGUCUUAAUAGUUGUGCUUUUCCCACUGUGCACAAAACCUCAGCCCAGCCCCUCAUGGCGCCUGGUGAAAAUAAAUCUGCAAAGAUUUAAUGCUGAGAAAACCAGGAAUUUCAAAUUCACUUUCAAAGAAAACCAACUAAUUGGGAAGAACUGGUUUAACAACCCAAACUGCCUUUCCACCCCUCAUUGGUGACUUCUGAGCUCUUUUCCCUUGCAGCUUCAGAACAGAUCCCAGGAUUGUGGCAGAUCCCUCAUGAGGGGGUGCUGGGGAAGUGACUUUCCUGUCUCCCUGCCUCAGUUUCCCCAAAAGGAUGUGCUGUGCUGACCAGGGACUUUGGGACAACACACACAAUGGAAAUGCAGAGGCUGGCAUGUGGAACUUGUCUAAAUAAACUGAGCAGUUAAUUUUCUUUUAGGAGGAAACUGAAAUUCUCAUAUAACAUCAAAUAGUUCUGGUGAUUUGUGGCUUUCAGAGCACUUCCAGGCUUUGCUUCUAAAGAUUUUUAAUUCUUUUUAAAAAACCACAGUUAGCAACAAUAUGUUGUGUAAACUUUGAUGCAUAAGACUGUGAAAUGUCCAGUUAUGUGCUUUUCCUGGCUGGUGUCCAAGUUUUCACUGCAUCUGUAUCAACUGCAGUUAAAAAAAACCCAAAACCACAUUAAAAAAAAAAAAAAAAAAAAAAAAAGGAAAAUUCGAAAAUUUAAUUUGAAACAUUUGUAUGUGAAAUCAUCUUAUCAUCUACAGAUAGGAGAGGGCCCAGUGUAAGAGAGCACAUUGUUUGGCAGGGCUGGGCUGUGCUCAGACUGCAGCUGGGGGGUGGUAAUGCCCGAAAUUCCCUGAUCCCGGGGGAAUUGUGUAAAAUACCCGGGGGAAUUGUGUAAAAUACCCGGGGCAUGUGAGAUCUCAGCCGUGGUGGGGGUGAGGAGCACGGUGAGGUGCUGCUGCAGCCAAGGACAAAGGACAAUGAAGUCCCUGCAGAGAUUUGUGUGGGAAGCUCCAGGUCUGUUUUGGUGGAAAUAAAAGCUGAGGAGAAAUUUGAGAAAAGCAGGGAAUGGGAACAGAGAACUGGACUAACAGACCGGAUAGUUCUCAUUUUGGAUUUUUUUCCCUAAUUUUUCCCCCCUGUCCUGCCUUUCUGCAGUAUCUGGUGCACACUGACUUCUCCCCGAUAUCAAACCACAUUUUGGGCUCUGGGCUGUUUGUGCUGGGAAACUCUCCAGCAUUUCUGAGCUGCUUUGGGAGCAGGAUGCUGCUGGGCUGUGGGAUGCUGAGCACAGCUGGAUGGAGGGAGGCACACACGGUGGGGCUGGGAGCUCCACUGAGCAUCCCACACUUUCCUUCUGAAACAAAGCGGAGAAAUCACCCUUCCUGUAAAAAACCACUCAGCCCCAGCAGUUUUGGUGCUGCAGCCCAUCGGGGUUUUGGGGUGCUGGGGGUGCCGGGGCAAAAAGUUGCUGGCUGCUGCCCAGUGAGUUAGCACGGAUUUGUGGAUUGGUUUGGGUUGGAAGGAGCUUAAAGCUCGUCUCAUUCCACCCCUUGCCAUGCAGGGACACAUUCCACUAGACCAAGCUGCUCCAAGCCCCAUCCAAAGGAUUGGUGAAACCAGGAGGGGUUUUAGUCAGAGCAGGCUUGCUGCUUCUCAGCUUUAGAAGACCCAGUGUGAAAAUAAAAGGAGUUUAGAAGACCCCAACUCCACAUCUUUAGUAGCAAGUCGAUUGUUUGCUGCUAAAGUAGAUUUUAGGAGUGGUAGGUGGGACAGGAGGUUCCUCCAGGAGGUGCAGGAGGGGAACAUCCCAGCAGCCAGGCGGUGCCUGGGGCUUUGACCAGGCUCCAUCCCCCGUGCAGAACCAGCUGAGGUUUCCCUGGAGGACAGCCAGGCUCUGUGCUCGCUAAUGCCCCUUCUCCUGUGUCUCCCUGUGUGCACAGAUAUAAUAUUUAUAGAUACUUAUACUCACACUUAAACAAAAGCAGCUCUGCCUGAGGCUCUGCAGGGAUGAGUGGAAGCAAAUGAGCAUUUUUAAUUGAUGUGACACCUCCUGGGGGCAGCUCGCAGGCAGCAGGGACCCGAUGGGCAGGAGGAGCUGCUGCUCCUUCUGUGACCACGCCAAAACAAGCCCCGGGCCAGCUCUCCUCGUGUGUGUGCUGGGGGAAAGUGGGGCUGAAAAACAGGAGCCACUGUGUCCAUUUGGGUGGUGAGAUGAUGUGGGAUGAGCCUGGGGAUGCUGGAACCAGGGUUUAGGAUCCACCUGGGCUGUCUCAUGAUUUCAAACAAGACUUUAAAGGGUGCAGCCUGUGGUGGCACCACCUGUGAACGUGACACAAAACACCCACAUCGAUUAAGCCCUUUUCCACUGAGAGGUGUUUUAAAAGCUUUUGUUCUGUUUUCAGUCUCAUGUGAAGGGUGAGACAGUACAGAUGUUAUAAUCCACAGCAUCACAAUCAGAAGCCAACUAUCUCUUAAUUACAAUACAUUAUAAGCAUUUCUUGGCCUGGCCUUUGGCAGGACAGGAUCCCUUCCCUGCGCUGCGGGGGAUGGAGGGCAGGGAUGGGGUUUGCACCCAGCGGAGCAGAGGGACCACGGGCAGCAGGAGCUCGGUGUGAGGCUGCUCUGGUACUCAGCUGGUGGAAGGGAGCCAGAACGAGCCUGUCUGGAGGGGAGAGCAGGCAGGAGCAGAGCCUGCUGUCUCGGCACUCUCGUUAUCCCAGUUUCCAGGCAGGGAGGGCUAAUUGCCUUUGCUGCUGGCUGUCUUCCACCCGGGACGCCUGUGGUGGAGGGCAAGGUGUUUCCUUGGCUUUAGUCAAGGCAGAGAUGAUUUCCAGGGUUGUAACAGGCUUCACAUCAGAGCCCUGAGAUGGGAAGGGCCCCUCUGUCUCCCCCAGACUCCUCCUGCUGUCCCUGCUGCAGCCCCGGAGGUUCUCUGCCCCAGCGCUGGCUCCAAGGCAGCCAGAUCCAUCCUCCUUUCCCUCCCUCCUGCAGAGGGGGAGCUGGGCAUAUUUCAUAUUCAUGUUUCUCUUGGUUUCCUGCUGUUUUUCUUUUCCCAUUGUAUGGAAAAGAGCAUUUCCCCGUCUGGGGCAGGAGGGAGGGGGUUUUCCCAGCACGGCCAGACUUUGCACUGCAGCCUCUGGAGAGGUUUCAUGGGCUGGUGCCAGAUUCCAGCCAGCCCUGCCAGAGCCUGGCUGGGCUCUGGGGGGUUGUGCAGUGCUGGGGGAGCCUUGAGCACUGGUUUAGGCCUAGGACAUUGUAGCAUGGGGUUCUCAGGUUCCCCUGGGCUCCAAAAACUCCCUGGAUUUGUAUGCUCUGUGCUCAGAUAAAUUCCUGACAGAGAUCAGCACAUCCCUCUCCUGCAGCUCUGUGUUUCCAGGACCACCAUCACCCUUAGCUGACAGCAGAUGUGUCUAGAAAAUGUAAUAAGAUUUCUCCUGAUGGUUUUGCAGCUGGAGGGUUGGUGCCUGUGUGUGAAAACCUCAAUGUGGCACAGGCCAGAAACCACAGAGAAAAUGCUGCUUUGCUUGGACUUGCAAAGCUCAAGGAGCUCUGGGCAGGAAUGAUAAAGCCUCUGUGCCUUCUGGUGCUGCUCAAGAGCAGCUGCUGGGACAGGGGCUGCUUUUUUCACUGUGCACUCUGAUGUGUCCAGAUGGGGUUUCAAACCUUCAUGAGAUCAUGGUGAGGAAAAACCAUUUUCACGCUUUAAGGAUGGGAUUGUGUUGGGUUACAGGCGAGGAAAGAGCUUCAGGUUGUGCUGAGUGAAUGCAAAACCAUGUUAGAAAAGGUUCAGACCAUGAUGUGAGAGCCAAGACUUUCCACCCAGGUGUUCUCAGCUCACAUUUAUCUGCAGUGAUGUCACCACUGGCAUCUUCACCCUGCACCCUCACACGUAACUGGGGGUUUUGUGCUUCUGGAGGAGAACUUUAUACAAAUACAAGCACAGGGGGAAACAUUCCUUCUCCUCUCCAGAUACUCUCAGAGGGCUCCUGACUCACUGACCACUCUGAGGUGUCUGGGAGAUUCUGGCCAUGCUGCUGCAGCCUGGCACUGCCAGGAUGAGCUGCUGGUGCCUCCAGCUGAGACAGGCAGCUUUGGUGGGAAAAACAGCCAAAUUCUUUAGGUGGGGCUGGGCAAAGAGCAUGUCCAGGCAGGAAUCUGCGCUGGUCCUCUGCCAGAGGGGGAUGCUCCAGGUAGAAGCGGUGUAAAGGAGGAGAUAAAACUGGAGGAGAUAAAACUGGAGGAGAUGAAACUGGAGGAGAUGAAACUGGAGGAGAUGAGGUCUGCAGAACACACGUGGAUGUGCCUGCCCACACGUGGGGUGAUGUGUUUGGGGAUGACAUGAGGAUGACUGUUCAUGGCAAGCAGAAGGUUUGGGCAGGAGGAGGAGAGGGAGAGGCCCUGACACACCUCGGGACUGCCACAUCCACAAACCAUUCCUGCUCCUUGCCAGGUGACAAGGCCCAGGAGGUGCUGCUGCCUCCUCUGCAGGGACAGAAAGGAGAACUGGGUCACC